RNAcentral lists this ribosomal RNA (912 nucleotides) under Pseudocercospora sp. FBR-2013. RNAcentral describes it as "eukaryotic LSU rRNA". It matches the Rfam family "Eukaryotic large subunit ribosomal RNA", at positions 24 to 965 of the family's 3401-position model. The record is from RNAcentral. Lineage: Eukaryota; Fungi; Ascomycota; Dothideomycetes; Mycosphaerellales; Mycosphaerellaceae.
GAUCCCGCUGAACUUAAGCAUAUCAAUAAGCGGAGGAAAAGAAACCAACAGGGAUUGCCCUAGUAACGGCGAGUGAAGCGGCAACAGCUCAAAUUUGAAAUCUGGCGUAAGCCCGAGUUGUAAUUUGUAGAGGAUGCUUCUGGGUAGCGGCCGGUCUAAGUUCCUUGGAACAGGACGUCAUAGAGGGUGAGAAUCCCGUAUGUGACUGGCUUGCACCCUCCACGUAGCUCCUUCGACGAGUCGAGUUGUUUGGGAAUGCAGCUCUAAAUGGGAGGUAAAUUUCUUCUAAAGCUAAAUACCGGCCAGAGACCGAUAGCGCACAAGUAGAGUGAUCGAAAGAUGAAAAGCACUUUGGAAAGAGAGUUAAAAAGCACGUGAAAUUGUUGAAAGGGAAGCGCCCGCAACCAGACUUUGCGGCGGUGUUCGGCUGGUCUUCUGACCGGUUUACUCGCCGCCGUGAGGCCAUCAUCGUCUGGGACCGCUGGAUAAGACCUGAGGAAUGUAGCUCCCUUCGGGGUGUGUUAUAGCCUCUGGUGAUGCAGCGCGUCUCGGGCGAGGUCCGCGCUUCGGCAAGGAUGAUGGCGUAAUGGUUGUCGGCGGCCCGUCUUGAAACACGGACCAAGGAGUCUAACAUCUAUGCGAGUGUUCGGGUGUCAAACCCCUACGCGUAAUGAAAGUGAACGGAGGUGGGAACUUUUUGUGCACCAUCGACCGAUCCUGAUGUCCUCGGAUGGAUUUGAGUAAGAGCAUAGCUGUUGGGACCCGAAAGAUGGUGAACUAUGCCUGAAUAGGGUGAAGCCAGAGGAAACUCUGGUGGAGGCUCGCAGCGGUUCUGACGUGCAAAUCGAUCGUCAAAUUUGGGUAUAGGGGCGAAAGACUAAUCGAACCAUCUAGUAGCUGGUUCCUGCCGAU